CACCAGGCGUAAAAUACAUUCGGGCUUUGCGCUUCAAAGGCGCUCCUUCAAGGGAGCACCUAGUGCCUGACCCCGGUCAGGCGCAACACCGUCCAAUUGCGGGGACUCCCUAAAGCUCGUGCACACCAAACGGUGCGGGGAAACCCCACCGCGGCCAGGCCAAUCACCUGGGUAUGGUAAAAGCGGCAUGAGAUGAAGGCGCCAGCGCCUGAAAUGGGUGAUCCGCAGCCAAGUCCUACCGAGCCCGGCUCCGAGCCCGGUUCCACGGAUGCAGUUCACAGACUAAAUGGCGGUGGGUUCCAAAUGGAGCUUAAGAUAUAGUCGGACCACCUCGAGAGAGGUUC
Molecule: intron RNA, 344 nt
Organism: Coccomyxa subellipsoidea C-169
Lineage: Eukaryota; Viridiplantae; Chlorophyta; Trebouxiophyceae; Coccomyxaceae
Rfam family: Group I catalytic intron
About the family: Group I catalytic introns are large self-splicing ribozymes. They catalyse their own excision from mRNA, tRNA and rRNA precursors in a wide range of organisms.
Source: Rfam